This 356-nucleotide small RNA is filed under the name Nothoprocta perdicaria. RNAcentral describes it as "sRNA (ENSNPEG00000011915.1)". Lineage: Eukaryota; Metazoa; Chordata; Aves; Tinamiformes; Tinamidae. The record is from RNAcentral.
CCAGCCUCAGCUUUGAGGAUAAUCCCCGCAGGAUGGGAGCCCUCGCGGGCAGGCAGAGACAAGUUCCUCCGAGAAACAAGGUCAUGCUGCAAUUUUUUUUUUUUUGGUAAGCACAGGAAUCAACAAAGUGCUGUUAUAUAACUUCUAUUUAUAUCCUCCUGCUCAGUAGCUGCAGGCAAGCGAGUGGAGCUGGGAAGGGAAUUUAAUGAGCUCUUGGGGCUUGCUCACCUUCCAGAGCUGCUAGGAGCCAGCUUGUUUUUGAAGUGCGUCAGCAAACGAAACUGGUGGUGGGUGGGUGGUUUGGGUAGGUGGACUGACUUGUUGCUAUGGUUUUCUUUAACUCCUCUGUCUCUCGA